ACGAACGCUGGCGGCGUGCCUCAUACAUGCAAGUUGCGCGAUGAAGAUUGGUGCUUGCACCAAUUUGAAGAGCAGCGAACGGGUGAGUAACGCGUGGGGAAUCUGCCUUUGAGCGGGGGACAACAUUUGGAAACGAAUGCUAAUACCGCAUAACAACUUUAAACAUAAGUUUUAAGUUUGAAAGAUGCAAUUGCAUCACUCAAAGAUGAUCCCGCGUUGUAUUAGCUAGUUGGUGAGUAAAGGCUCACCAAGGCGAUGAUACAUAGCCGACCUGAGAGGGUGAUCGGCCACAUUGGGACUGAGACACGGCCCAAACUCCUACGGGAGGCAGCAGUAGGGAAUCUUCGGCAAUGGACGAAAGUCUGACCGAGCAACGCCGCGUGAGUGAAGAAGGUUUUCGGAUCGUAAAACUCUGUUGGUAGAGAAGAACGUUGGUGAGAGUGGAAAGCUCAUCAAGUGACGGUAACUACCCAGAAAGGGACGGCUAACUACGUG
This 495-nucleotide ribosomal RNA is filed under the name uncultured bacterium. Its description in RNAcentral is "partial 16S ribosomal RNA". It matches the Rfam family "Bacterial small subunit ribosomal RNA", at positions 29 to 507 of the family's 1533-position model. The record is from RNAcentral.